UGCAACUCGCCUGCAUGAAGUUGGAAUUGCUAGUAAUCGCGAAUCAGAAUGUCGCGGUGAAUACGUUCCCGGGCCUUGUACACACCGCCCGUCACACCAUGAGAGUCGAUAACACCCGAAGCCUGUGAGCUAACCUUUAGGAGGCAGCAGUCGAAGGUGGGGUUGAUGAUUGGGGUGAAGUCGUAACAAGGUACC
RNAcentral lists this ribosomal RNA (195 nucleotides) under uncultured bacterium. RNAcentral's name for it is "partial 16S ribosomal RNA". It matches the Rfam family "Bacterial small subunit ribosomal RNA", at positions 1306 to 1500 of the family's 1533-position model. The record is from RNAcentral.